Molecule: ribosomal RNA, 581 nt
Filed under: uncultured bacterium
Lineage: Bacteria
Description: bacterial SSU rRNA
Rfam family: Bacterial small subunit ribosomal RNA
Source: RNAcentral
ACGGGUGAGUAAUAUAUCGGAACGUGCCCUAGAGUGGGGGAUAACUAGUCGAAAGACUAGCUAAUACCGCAUACGAUCUAAGGAUGAAAGUGGGGGAUCGCAAGACCUCAUGCUCCUGGAGCGGCCGAUAUCUGAUUAGCUAGUUGGUGGGGUAAAAGCCUACCAAGGCGACGAUCAGUAGCUGGUCUGAGAGGACGACCAGCCACACUGGGACUGAGACACGGCCCAGACUCCUACGGGAGGCAGCAGUGGGGAAUUUUGGACAAUGGGGGCAACCCUGAUCCAGCAAUGCCGCGUGAGUGAAGAAGGCCUUCGGGUUGUAAAGCUCUUUUGUCAGGGAAGAAACGGUGGUAGCUAAUAUCUACUACUAAUGACGGUACCUGAAGAAUAAGCACCGGCUAACUACGUGCCAGCAGCCGCGGUAAUACGUAGGGUGCAAGCGUUAAUCGGAAUUACUGGGCGUAAAGCGUGCGCAGGCGGUUGUGUAAGACAGAUGUGAAAUCCCCGGGCUCAACCUGGGAAUUGCAUUUGUGACUGCACGGCUAGAGUGUGUCAGAGGGGGGUAGAAUUCCACGUGUAGC